GAUGAACGCUGGCGGCGUGCCUAAUACAUGCAAGUCGAGCGAACAGACGAGGAGCUUGCUCCUCUGACGUUAGCGGCGGACGGGUGAGUAACACGUGGAUAACCUACCUAUAAGACUGGGAUAACUUCGGGAAACCGGAGCUAAUACCGGAUAAUAUAUUGAACCGCAUGGUUCAAUAGUGAAAGACGGUUUUGCUGUCACUUAUAGAUGGAUCCGCGCCGCAUUAGCUAGUUGGUAAGGUAACGGCUUACCAAGGCAACGAUGCGUAGCCGACCUGAGAGGGGGAUCGGCCACAUUGGAACUGAGACACGGUCCAGACUCCUACGGGAGGCAGCAGUAGGGAAUCUUCCGCAGUGGGCGAAAGCUUGACGGAGCAGCGCCGCGUGAGUGAUGAAGGUCUUCGGAUCGUAAAACUCUGUUAUUAGGGAAGAACAAAUGUGUAAGUAACUAUGCACGUCUUGACGGUACCUAAUCAGAAAGCCACGGCUAACUACGUG
This 497-nucleotide ribosomal RNA is filed under the name uncultured bacterium. Its description in RNAcentral is "partial 16S ribosomal RNA". It matches the Rfam family "Bacterial small subunit ribosomal RNA", at positions 28 to 507 of the family's 1533-position model. The record is from RNAcentral.